UUCCUGAACCCUUCUCCUUCCGCUCUCCCGCCCCUGCAGGCUGUGUGCCGGGCUGGGAAGAAAGUGUGACCCGCUUGAUGGAACAAAGGACAAGACAGCCCGGCCCGGUGCGGCCACUGCGGAGCGUUAGGAACGUUCCCUAAAAUGGCGGCCGGCGCGUCGGGACAGGGCGGGAGGCGGCGUCGCGUGGGGGCGGGACGGGGAGGGGCGCGGCGGGCCGGGCUUCUGCUCCGGCGACCCCGGCGGUGCAGGGCGGGUGGAGUCGCGGAGUCGUCCUCAUGGCCGCCGCGCCGGAGCCCGGUGAGCCCGAGGAGAGGAAGGUAGAAUUAGAAGAUCAUGUGAUGUUGGAGUAGGAGGGUUUAUCUUGGUGACUUUGGGAUGCUGGUAUGUUUGCUAAGUAUUCAAGAACAUCCAUGAUUAUAGUAGGUUAUCUAAUUCAAAAAGCACAUGCUCUUUUCAGAGCAAUCUCCCAUUGGGAGAUCCUCACCCUCAAUGAAGAAUCUUGAUUUUUCAGGACAUUUUCAUGGAAAUCUGUCUUAAAAUGCUUGAACAGAUAAAUGCAUAUUAGACAUCCCAUUAAAAAGAAAGCUGUUUUACACUUCACUUAGGAAAGCCUCAACCAUUUCCCUUACCCUAAUACUUAUUUCAUCCCUGCUUAUUCAUAUCUGAAAAUGCUACUUUAAGAAUGUGUUUACAACUACUGAUGAGUGAAUAUAAAAUAUGGAUGAACCUCAAAUAUUUGCCAGACCUAAGAGUACGGUAUGUAUGUACUAUAUGGUUCCAUUUAUACAUGAAUUUCUACAGUAAGCUAUUUAAGGUGAUAGAAAUCAUUUUAUGUAGACAUAGCAUUAUUAUCCCAUUAAAAAUGAGAGCAAAUACUAGUUUCUUAUAAUAACCAAUGCUAUCAGAAGACUUAAAACUAAUGGAUUUUAUCACUUUACAAAUUGUUUAUGUAGACAUCCUUUUUUUCCCUAAUAAAAAAGAAUGUGUUGAUAGGUAUUCUGACACCAAAACUGCCCAGAAAUAGCACUAUAAAUUAGAACAUAUUUUUCAGUCUCAGGGUAGUCAUCUGUAAGUAUUUAAGUUUUGUGUAAUUUAUAGAGAAAUUUCAUAAAUUAAUUUCUGUAGGACUUUAUAUUAACAAUUUAUUCAUAUUCUUUUCUUUCAAGGUUUCAUUGUAGGUAUAAUUAUGCAAAGCAAAGAAUCCAGGAAAGAAUUGCCAGAGAAGAAAUAAAAAAGAAGAUAUUAUAUGAAGGUACCCACCUCGAUCCUGAAAGAAAACACAACGGCAACAGCAGCAAUUGAACAAUCUUGAGCAUAGAAAAGAAGUCAGUGUAAACGAAGUUAAGAUCAACCACAUAAAACAUUUCAUGUGCAAUAAGCUCUCAAUCAAGUAAAUAAAGUUUAAGUUGUAGUCAUUUUUUUUCCCACACUUGUAUGGAAUGAAAACUUGCCAAUUUAUUCUGGCCCUGUGUCUACUACCAGGAUAGCAUUCUUACGUGUUACAUAUAGUGGACUUGUCAUCCUUAAAAUGUGAACAGAAUUUAUUGGCAGUGUGGCAAAGGAUUAUAAAACCUAGUGUUUAAUGUACUUGGAAAGAGUUUCCCUUGUAGUAAUAAGUAUAGAGUUUAACGAUAAGUAAACUUCCCUUAACAAAAACCUCAACCUUAUUACUAUCCCAUUAAAAAGCAGCAAAUACUUACUGACUUCUUGUAAUAGCUAAUGUCAUUGUAAGAUUUUAAACUAAGGGAUUUUAUCGCUUUGCAAAUUAUUUUUUAAAUGCAUUCAUCAUUUGACAGUGUUCUCUCAUUUCUUAAAAUGUGAGUCAUCUUCCAAAAGAGUUGUUUUUAACUGCCCUAAACAUUUUUGGGGAAGUAUGCAGGGUUUAUAUUUUUAAGUAUAAUUCGUUCUGAAUUUAAAUAUGCACAUGGAACUUGUCUGGCAGACUGAUGGAACAGAAAAAUAACUGCAGAAUUACUAUCAAUGUAGACAAUCCUUUUGAAAGUCAAUCAGCUGCUCCCAUUAAAAUAUUAUUUAAAAUACAAGAAUACCCACAGCAUCUAACUAAAUCCUCAGGAUUUAUUCUCCGGGAGAAAUUAUCCCUUUCUAGGAAAAUGAAGUUAUUUCUGGUUUUAAUCCGUACAGUACUUUAAGAAAAUCUAUUAAAUACAACAAAACACAAGCUAGAUGCUUAAGAAAUGCUUCAAGAAAUAUUGGGGGGAAGAUACCAGCAGUCAAUAGGAUUGUGGCCAUUACUGGUCCUAUUAUUUUGAUGUACCAUGGAAGGCACAGAAAUAGAGCAAGGAAGAAAAUAUUAGUUAUUUUGAUCUACGUCUUUUUCUAAAGAAAAGUGGAGCUUGCUCCAGUUCAAUUCACAAGAGCAUUUUCCCUCCCAUGCCCACCUUUUCUUGUGGCUGUCGCUAGGAAGGUUAUGAUGCAGAGGCUGUGUGGUUUACCAAAUGCCUUAACUUAGCAGUGAAUGACACUGUCAAACACACGUUGAGGGAAAAUUUUUACUGAUUGACAAAAAGGAAGACAGUUAAACUGCCCACUCUUAGUGGCACAAAUCAAAGCUGCAUGCAGUCUACAUUAUCCAAAUUAGUCGUAACCAAAUAGUUAAAAAAUUCCACCGGGUACGGUGGCUCACACCUGUAAUCUCAGCACUUUGGGAGGCCGAGGCAGUUGGAUCACCUGAGGUUAGGAGUUUGAGACCAGCCUGGCCAACAGGGUGAAACCCUGUCUUGUCUAAAAAUACAAAAAUUAGCCAGGCGUGGUGGUGCAUGCCUGUAGUCCCAGGUACUCGGGAGGCUGAGGCAUAAGAAUCACUUGAACCUGAGGUGGGGCAGACGGAGGUUGCAGUGAGCCAAGAUCGCGCCAUUGCACUCUAGCCUAGGUGACGGAGUGAGACUCCCCAUCUCAAAAAAAAAAAAAAAAAAAAUUCCAUACCAUGUUUUCAGAGGCAGCACUGUAUGAAUGUGGGAAAAUAUUGAUGAUCACUAAUCAAUAAUCUGAUAUUUAACAAACUGGGGACAGGCCACUUAUGCUGUUUUACCUUAGUUAUUCCUUGGUAUCCACAGGCCCAAGUCCCUUUAAAUAAAAUGCCCUCAUAUUUGCAUAAUCUACAUUCUCCCAUAUACUUUAAAUCAUCUCUAGAUUACUUACAAUGCCUAAUACAAAAUAAAUGCUAUGUAAAU
Nomascus leucogenys (northern white-cheeked gibbon) is the source of this 3194-nucleotide RNA transcript. It is a transcript of the gene named cytochrome c oxidase assembly protein COX20, mitochondrial, with no coding region annotated. The transcript is spliced from 2 exons. Lineage: Eukaryota; Metazoa; Chordata; Mammalia; Primates; Hylobatidae. The record is from RefSeq and is a predicted model, not a curated record.